This 495-nucleotide ribosomal RNA is filed under the name uncultured bacterium. RNAcentral's name for it is "partial 16S ribosomal RNA". It matches the Rfam family "Bacterial small subunit ribosomal RNA", at positions 28 to 523 of the family's 1533-position model. The record is from RNAcentral.
GAUGAACGCUGGCGGCGUGCUUAACACAUGCAAGUCGAACGAAGCAUUUCGGUCUUAAUCUUCGGAAGCGGACUGAUCUGACUGAGUGGCGGACGGGUGAGUAGCGCGUGGGUAACCUGCCCUGUACAGGGGGAUAACAGUUAGAAAUGACUGCUAACACCGCAUAAGCGCACAGGAAGGCAUCUUUCGGUGUGAAAAUAUUUAUAGGUACAGGAUGGGCCCGCGUCUGAUUAGCCAGUUGGCAGGGUAACGGCCUACCAAAGCAACGAUCAGUAGCCGGCUUGAGAGAGUGAACGGCCACAUUGGGACUGAGACACGGCCCAAACUCCUACGGGAGGCAGCAGUGGGGAAUAUUGCACAAUGGGGGAAACCCUGAUGCAGCGACGCCGCGUGAGUGAAGAAGUAUUUCGGUAUGUUAAGCUCUAUCAGCAGGGAAGAAAAUGACGGUACCUGACUAAGAAGCCCCGGCUAACUACGUGCCAGCCGCCGCGGUAA